This 675-nucleotide ribosomal RNA is filed under the name uncultured Bacteroidales bacterium. Its description in RNAcentral is "bacterial SSU rRNA". It matches the Rfam family "Bacterial small subunit ribosomal RNA", at positions 64 to 735 of the family's 1533-position model. The record is from RNAcentral. Lineage: Bacteria; Pseudomonadati; Bacteroidota; Bacteroidia; Bacteroidales.
GAGGGGCAGCAUGGUCUUAGCUUGCUAAGGCGAUGGCGACGGCGCACGGUGAUAACACGUAUCACUGCCGUCUACUCUUGGACAGCCUUCUGAAAGGAAGAUUAAUACAAGAUGGCAUCAUGAGUCCGCAUGUUCACAUGAUUAAAGGUAUUCCGGUAGACGAUGGGGAUGCGUUCCAUUAGAUAGUAGGCGGGGUAACGGUCCACCUAGUCUUCGAUGGAUAGGGGUUCUGAGAGGAAGGUCCCCCACAUUGGAACUGAGACACGGUCCAAACUCCUACGGGAGGCAGCAGUGAGGAAUAUUGGUCAAUGGGCGAGAGCCUGAACCAGCCAAGUAGCGUGAAGGAUGACUGCCCUAUGGGUUGUAAACUUCUUUUAUAAAGGAAUAAAGUCGGGUAUGGAUACCCGUUUGCAUGUACUUUAUGAAUAAGGAUCGGCUAACUCCGUGCCAGCAGCCGCGGUAAUACGGAGGAUCCGAGCGUUAUCCGGAUUUAUUGGGUUUAAAGGGAGCGUAGAUGGAUGUUUAAGUCAGUUGUGAAAGUUUGCGGCUCAACCGUAAAAUUGCAGUUGAUACUGGAUAUCUUGAGUGCAGUUGAGGCAGGCGGAAUUCGUGGUGUAGCGGUGAAAUGCUUAGAUAUCACGAAGAACUCCGAUUGCGAAGGCAGCCUGCUAAGCU